CACUGAGCGUAACAGGGGUGUUGCACCCCGCUCACGAGCGGUAGACGGGUGAGUAAUGCUUAGGAAUCUGCCCAGUAGUGGGGGACAACAGUCGGAAACGGCUGCUAAUAGCGGAUACGCCCUACGGGGGAAAGCAGGGGAUCUUCGGACCUUGCGCUAUUGGAUGAGCCUAAGUCGGAUUAGCUAGUUGGUAGGGUAAAGGCCUACCAAGGCGACGAUCCGUAGCUGGUCUGAGAGGAUGAUCAGCCACAUCGGGACUGAGACACGGGCCGAACUCCUACGGGAGGCAGCAGUGGGGAAUAUUGGACAAUGGGGGCAACCCUGAUCCAGCCAUGCCGCGUGUGUGAAGAAGGCUUUCGGGUUGUAAAGCACUUUCAGCGAGGAGGAAGGCCUUAAAGUUAAUACCUUUAAGGAUUGACGUUACUCGCAGAUGAAGCACCGGCUAACUCCGUGCCAGCAGACGCGGUAAUACGGAGGGUGCAAGCGUUAAUCGGAAUUACUGGGCGUAAAGCGCGCGUAGGUGGUUAGGUAAAGCGAGAUGUGAAAAGCCCGGGCUUAAACUGGGAACGGAAUUUCGAAACUGUCAGACUAAAGUGUGGUACACGGUAGUGGAA
RNAcentral lists this ribosomal RNA (614 nucleotides) under uncultured bacterium. RNAcentral describes it as "bacterial SSU rRNA". It matches the Rfam family "Bacterial small subunit ribosomal RNA", at positions 60 to 666 of the family's 1533-position model. The record is from RNAcentral.